GAUGAAGAACGUAGCGAAAUGCGAUACGUAAUGUGAAUUGCAGAAUUCAGUGAAUCAUCGAAUCUUUGAAUGCACAUUGCGCCCCUUGGUAUUCCAUGGGGCAUGCCUGUUCGAGCGUCAUUUGUACCUUCAAGCUUUGCUUGGUGUUGGGUGUUUGUCUCGCCUUUGCGUGUAGACUCGCCUUAAAACAAUUGGCAGCCGGCGUAUUGAUUUCGGAGCGCAGUACAUCUCGCGCUUUGCACUCAUAACGACGACGUCCAAAAGUACAUUUUUACACUCUUGACCUCGGAUCAGGUAGGGAUACCCGCUGAACUUAAGCAUAUCAAUAAGCGGAGGA
This 337-nucleotide unclassified non-coding RNA is filed under the name soil metagenome. RNAcentral's name for it is "partial contains 5.8S ribosomal RNA, internal transcribed spacer 2, and large subunit ribosomal RNA". The stretch from base 1 to 120 matches the Rfam family "5.8S ribosomal RNA", at positions 35 to 154 of the family's 154-position model. The record is from RNAcentral.